RNAcentral lists this ribosomal RNA (382 nucleotides) under uncultured bacterium. Its description in RNAcentral is "bacterial SSU rRNA". It matches the Rfam family "Bacterial small subunit ribosomal RNA", at positions 139 to 507 of the family's 1533-position model. The record is from RNAcentral.
GGGGAUAACAUUUGGAAACAAAUGCUAAUACCGUAUAAUAAUUAAAACCGCAUGGUUUUAGUUAAAAAGAUGGUCUUGCUAUCACUAAGAGAUGGUCCCGCGGUGUAUUAGUUAGUUGGUGAGGGUAAUGGCUCACCAAGACAAUGAUACAUAGCCGAGUUGAGAGACUGACCGGCCACAAUGGGACUGAGACACGGCCCAUACUCCUACGGGAGGCAGCAGUAGGGAAUCUUCCACAAUGGACGAAAGUCUGAUGGAGCAACGCCGCGUGUGUGAUGAAGGGUUUCGGCUCGUAAAACACUGUUGUAAGAGAAGAAUGACAUUGAGAGUAACUGUUCAAUGUGUGACGGUAUCUUACCAGAAAGGAACGGCUAAAUACGUG